CCGAACCGUCGCAGUUAUAGCCGAAAAAAACCAAAAUCAUAGGACCCAGAACCCAGCUCCUCUUCUUCUUCUCAAAGACAGCCAAAUCGGACCCUAAAUCACAAAACAUUCAGGCGAGAGUGCCUCAUUCUCGCCUCAUGCAUCUUCUCUCUCUCUUUGUCACCAUAUUUGUAACAAUCUCUAACAAAUUCUCCCUCCCCAUCCCUUUCGCACGUGUUGGAAGCCUCCAGAAGGCAUAUGCUUGAUGAAUAUGGAGCGUAGAUUCGAUUUCAAUGAAUCGCAGCCCUUCAUUCAUCAGGUUGGUUCCUGAUAAGUAGAGAGAACUUUGGAGGAUUUUCCGAAGGGGGGAUGGAGAGAAAAGGGCCAAGAGAUUUCAAUUCUAACAUAGAAGGGAUAUGAAAGAGACAUAGUGGUUCGAUUUCUCUUGCAUAUUUACUCCUCCAUUUUAUUUCGCUUUGGAUUUCUGGUGUCAAGUAUGGAGUUCGAGUGAGUCGUUUGUCGAUUCGAGUUCCGAUCGAGGCUCGUUCGAGAUUGCUGGCUGCUUUCGCUUGGCUGCUGCGUGAUUCAAAUUUUCACUGUCGAGGUCUCUUGUAUUUCCGCCCCUGAAAUUAAUAGAAAUUUUUAGCAUCCAGGUUUAUUUCCCCUCCUUUACUACUUUGUUUAUAUGGUUUAAAACAUGGUUAGGAGAUUCAGUCUCGUAGGAGCUGAGAUUUAUGUGAUGUCGAUGUGGUAAGCCACAUUUUGAUAACUUUAUUACUGGUAAGGCAUUUUAAUUAAAGCGUGGUUAGUUGUGAAACUAUUAGCUGAAUUUCAUUCUAGUAACAUGCUCUUCGUGAUCUUUUAUGAGUGUUCAGUUUGCCCUUCUCAGCUGGAGCCUGAAAUAGUGCUGAGAUGAGUGACAUUUUUCUGCCUAGUGAAGGCUUGAUGCUCUGAAUUGGUUGAUGCCCCUUACCCUGUUUAUGUCCUUUUUCCUAACCGAUAGUCCUGUUGGAUUUUGCUAUUCCCUUGAAUAGAAUUUGCUGGCAUCUCUUCUCUGCUUGCUAAGUUUAGUCUUCUUCUCCGUUUGUGAUAUAGAGUUGUAACCGUAAAGGAGAAAAAGCAGUUGGUGUUGGAAUUCAUGUGUCAAAGCUAGAGAAAUUGUGAACAUUAACCGUUUGGGUGUAAAUCCUAUGUGCUUGAGUUAAUAUUUUGUAAACCCGAAAGUCUUAGCUUCAAGUUGUACCGUUCUAUUGCUGAAAUCUGCUCUAAUUUCUGGCUCUGUAUUACAUUUGAGAACAUUGGUUUGAGCACUUGGUAUCCUCUGAUUGUUUGUUCUACUCCCUAUUCAUUGUUUUCAAAUUGUGAGUGUGUCAUUGGAGAUUUUUGUGCUAGUUAUAGACUAAUGCAUGUCAUUCUUU
This 1397-nucleotide long non-coding RNA is filed under the name Nicotiana benthamiana. RNAcentral's name for it is "long non-coding RNA (NBEN_LNC010106)". Lineage: Eukaryota; Viridiplantae; Streptophyta; Magnoliopsida; Solanales; Solanaceae. The record is from RNAcentral.